GACGAACGCUGGCGGCGUGCUUAACACAUGCAAGUCGAACGGUGAAGGGACCAGCUUGCUGGUUCUGGAUGAGUGGCGAACGGGUGAGUAACACGUGAGUAACCUGCCCCCUUCUUCUGGAUAACCGCAUGAAAGUGUGGCUAAUACGGGAUAUUCUGGGUCUGUCGCAUGGCGGGCCCGGGAAAGAUAUUGCUUCGGUGGGGGAUGGGCUCGCGGCCUAUCAGCUUGUUGGUGGGGUGAUGGCCUACCAAGGCGGUGACGGGUAGCCGGCCUGAGAGGGUGGACGGUCACACUGGGACUGAGACACGGCCCAGACUCCUACGGGAGGCAGCAGUGGGGAAGAUUGCACAAGGGGCGCAAGCCUGAUGCAGCGACGCCGCGUGAGGGAUGGAGGCCUUCGGGUUGUAAACCUCUUUCGCCAGUGAAGCAGGCCUGCUCCUUGUGGGUGGGUUGACGGUAGCUGGAGAAGAAGCGCCGGCUAACUACGUG
This 489-nucleotide ribosomal RNA is filed under the name uncultured bacterium. Its description in RNAcentral is "partial 16S ribosomal RNA". It matches the Rfam family "Bacterial small subunit ribosomal RNA", at positions 28 to 507 of the family's 1533-position model. The record is from RNAcentral.